RNAcentral lists this ribosomal RNA (146 nucleotides) under Berkeleyomyces basicola. RNAcentral's name for it is "5.8S ribosomal RNA". The stretch from base 1 to 122 matches the Rfam family "5.8S ribosomal RNA", at positions 33 to 154 of the family's 154-position model. From Rfam's summary of the family: 5.8S ribosomal RNA (5.8S rRNA) is a component of the large subunit of the eukaryotic ribosome. It is transcribed by RNA polymerase I as part of the 45S precursor that also contains 18S and 28S rRNA. Functionally, it is thought that 5.8S rRNA may be involved in ribosome translocation. The record is from RNAcentral. Lineage: Eukaryota; Fungi; Ascomycota; Sordariomycetes; Microascales; Ceratocystidaceae.
UCGAUGAAGAACGCAGCGAAAUGCGAUAAGUAAUGUGAAUUGCAGAAUUCAGUGAAUCAUCGAAUCUUUGAACGCACAUUGCGCCUGGCAGUAUUCUGCCAGGCAUGCCUGUCCGAGCGUCAUUUCACCACUCAAGCUCUGCUUGG